AGUGAACGCUGGCGGUAGGCCUAACACAUGCAGGUCGAACGGCAGCACAGUAAGAGCUUGCUCUUACGGGUGGCGAGUGGCGGACGGGUGAGGAAUACAUCGGAAUCUACUUUUUCGUGGGGGAUAACGUAGGGAAACUUACGCUAAUACCGCAUACGACCUACGGGUGAAAGCAGGGGAUCUUCGGACCUUGCGCGAUUGAAUGAGCCGAUGUCGGAUUAGCUAGUUGGCGGGGUAAAGGCCCACCAAGGCGACGAUCCGUAGCUGGUCUGAGAGGAUGAUCAGCCACACUGGAACUGAGACACGGUCCAGACUCCUACGGGAGGCAGCAGUGGGGAAUAUUGGACAAUGGGCGCAAGCCUGAUCCAGCCAUACCGAGUGGGUGAAGAAGGCCUUCGGGUUGUAAAGCCCUUUUGUUGGGAAAGAAAAGCAGCAGGUUAAUACCCCGCUGUUCUGACAGUACCCAAAGAAUAAGCACCGGCUAACUUCGUG
Molecule: ribosomal RNA, 492 nt
Filed under: uncultured bacterium
Lineage: Bacteria
Description: partial 16S ribosomal RNA
Rfam family: Bacterial small subunit ribosomal RNA
Source: RNAcentral